Molecule: ribosomal RNA, 301 nt
Filed under: uncultured bacterium
Lineage: Bacteria
Description: partial 16S ribosomal RNA
Rfam family: Bacterial small subunit ribosomal RNA
Source: RNAcentral
CAGCAGCCACGGUAAUACGAAGGGUGCAAGCGUUACUCGGAAUUACUGGGCGUAAAGCGUGCGUAGGUGGUGGUUUAAGUCCGUUGUGAAAGCCCUGGGCUCAACCUGGGAAUUGCAGUGGAUACUGGAUCACUAGAGUGUGGUAGAGGAUAGUGGAAUUUCCGGUGUAGCAGUGAAAUGCGUAGAGAUCGGAAGGAACAUCUGUGGCGAAGGCGACUAUCUGGGCCAACACUGACACUGAGGCACGAAAGCGUGGGGAGCAAACAGGAUUAGAUACCCCUGUAGUCCCUGUCUCUUAUAC